Molecule: ribosomal RNA, 439 nt
Filed under: uncultured bacterium
Lineage: Bacteria
Description: bacterial SSU rRNA
Rfam family: Bacterial small subunit ribosomal RNA
Source: RNAcentral
GCAUAACGCGAAGAACCUUACCUACUCUUGACAUCUAGCGAAGAUUGCAGAGAUGCAGUUGUGCCUUCGGGGACGCUAAGACAGGUGCUGCAUGGCUGUCGUCAGCUCGUGUUGUGAAAUGUUGGGUUAAGUCCCGCAACGAGCGCAACCCUUAUCCUUAGUUGCCAGCACGUAAUGGUGGGAACUCUAGGGAGACUGCCGGUGAUAAACCGGAGGAAGGUGGGGACGACGUCAAGUCAUCAUGGCCCUUACGAGUAGGGCUACACACGUGCUACAAUGGUACGUACAGAGGGAGGCAAGCUGGCGACAGUGAGCGGAUCUCUUAAAGCGUAUCGUAGUCCGGAUCGCAGUCUGCAACUCGACUGCGUGAAGUCGGAAUCGCUAGUAAUCGCAAAUCAGAAUGUUGCGGUGAAUACGUUCCCGGGUCUUGUACACACCG